RNAcentral lists this transfer RNA (76 nucleotides) under Chloroflexaceae bacterium. RNAcentral describes it as "tRNA-Lys". It matches the Rfam family "tRNA". From Rfam's summary of the family: Transfer RNA (tRNA) molecules are approximately 80 nucleotides in length. Their secondary structure includes four short double-helical elements and three loops (D, anti-codon, and T loops). Further hydrogen bonds mediate the characteristic L-shaped molecular structure. tRNAs have two regions of fundamental functional importance: the anti-codon, which is responsible for specific mRNA codon recognition, and the 3' end, to which the tRNAs corresponding amino acid is attached (by aminoacyl-tRNA synthetases). tRNAs cope with the degeneracy of the genetic code in two manners: having more than one tRNA (with a specific anti-codon) for a particular amino acid; and 'wobble' base-pairing, i.e. permitting non-standard base-pairing at the 3rd anti-codon position. Lineage: Bacteria; Bacillati; Chloroflexota; Chloroflexia; Chloroflexales; Chloroflexaceae. The record is from RNAcentral.
GAGCCGUUAGCUCAAUUGGCAGAGCAGCUGACUCUUAAUCAGUAGGUUGUAGGUUCGAUUCCUACACGGCUCACCA